This 681-nucleotide ribosomal RNA is filed under the name Nostoc carneum IMU11. RNAcentral describes it as "bacterial SSU rRNA". It matches the Rfam family "Bacterial small subunit ribosomal RNA", at positions 23 to 748 of the family's 1533-position model. Lineage: Bacteria; Bacillati; Cyanobacteriota; Cyanophyceae; Nostocales; Nostocaceae. The record is from RNAcentral.
CUCAGGAUUGACGCUGGCGGUAUGCUUAACACAUGCAAGUCGAACGGUCUCUUCGGAGAUAGUGGCGGACGGGUGAGUAACGCGUGAGAAUCUAGCUUCAGGUCGGGGACAACAGUUGGAAACGGCUGCUAAUACCGGAUGUGCCGAAAGGUAAAAGGCUUGCUGCCUGGAGAUGAGCUCGCGUCUGAUUAGCUAGUAGGUGUGGUAAGAGCGCACCUAGGCGACGAUCAGUAGCUGGUCUGAGAGGACGAUCAGCCACACUGGGACUGAGACACGGCCCAGACUCCUACGGGAGGCAGCAGUGGGGAAUUUUCCGCAAUGGGCGAAAGCCUGACGGAGCAAUACCGCGUGAGGGAGGAAGGCUCUUGGGUUGUAAACCUCUUUUCUCAAGGAAGAAGACAAUGACGGUACCUGAGGAAUAAGCAUCGGCUAACUCCGUGCCAGCAGCCGCGGUAAUACGGAGGAUGCAAGCGUUAUCCGGAAUGAUUGGGCGUAAAGCGUCCGCAGGUGGCAAUGAAAGUCUGCUGUUAAAGAGUGAGGCUCAACCUCAUAAAAGCGGUGGAAACUACAUAGCUAGAGUACGUUCGGGGCAGAGGGAAUUCCUGGUGUAGCGGUGAAAUGCGUAGAGAUCAGGAAGAACACCGGUGGCGAAAGCGCUCUGCUAGGCCUGUACUGACACUG